UUUCACAAAUCAAAGGAGUGUCAUUGUGAUAUAUUUUAUCCAACUAAAGCGCAUCUUCCCUCAAAUUUUCAAGUGAUGGGAAGAAGGAAAAACAACCAUUGGCCUUUUUCACUUCCUCAGGAUGGAAAAUACAUUAGCUUUGAAUUUGCAGAAUUGGAACCGACACAUAAUGAUCAAGAGAAUAACUUACAGGCGGGGUAAAUCCAGGCAAAACUUGUGAGUGAGCCACAACAAAAUCUCCCUCUGUUACAGGACAAGAUGUCUCUUCACAAAGGUCAUGGGUUUCACUGUGAAUGUGAAAUCCAAAGUAUGAGACAUCGAU
Rhodamnia argentea is the source of this 322-nucleotide long non-coding RNA. RefSeq lists it as uncharacterized. The transcript has 2 exons. The record is from RefSeq and is a predicted model, not a curated record. NCBI's taxonomy places the organism in Eukaryota, Viridiplantae, Streptophyta, Magnoliopsida, Myrtales, Myrtaceae.